UGCUCUGGAUUAGGCUUUGGCUUAUGGGGAUACUGUGGCUGGCUUGAUCUUCUAUCCAGACCACAAAAACUUUCUCCACAUUAGC
Molecule: microRNA precursor, 85 nt
Filed under: Tursiops truncatus (common bottlenose dolphin)
Lineage: Eukaryota; Metazoa; Chordata; Mammalia; Artiodactyla; Delphinidae
Description: miRNA (ENSTTRG00000024637.1)
Source: RNAcentral